This is an RNA transcript of Poecilia latipinna (sailfin molly), 3583 nucleotides long. RefSeq lists it as uncharacterized. The record is from RefSeq and is a predicted model, not a curated record. Lineage: Eukaryota; Metazoa; Chordata; Actinopteri; Cyprinodontiformes; Poeciliidae. The transcript is spliced from 3 exons.
AUAUUUUAAAAAUUGAUGCAUUUUAUUUUAUUUACACAUGCACAUUUUUAAGCUUAUUCUUCCACGAUUUGUUCUCCAGGACGUGACUGAAAUCGAGCCGUACAGCUCCUACACUCAGAAGGAAAAUUCACUUUAUUCAACAGGCAUAUUGCACAGCUGUCAAAUUAAUUCUGACUCUACAAAUAUUGUCUCCUGAUUAUCUCCUGAAUGAACAAAUUUACCAUCACAAUUCUUGGGUAUUUGGACUUUUUUUUUUCUUUCGUAUUUCAGAUAAUUUCCUUCUGAUUUAUUUAUGUUCGAUGGGUCUUGCCGUAUUCGGUUUAUUUCUCGUGUUCAUUAAUGUUGUCAUAUAAGUUAUUUUGUUUUUAGUUUCUUGUAUUAGUUUUUUGUGAAUUUGGGUUUAGUUCUCUGAGAUCACUGUUGAUCAUUUUCACUUAGCUUGUCGUUUCUCUGAGUUUUAGUUUAUCUUCCUGGACUCUCCCUCUGUUCAUCUGCCUUCUCUCUGCCUCAGUUGUCAUUUUCCACCCCUACCUCUUUGUAAAGACAUGUUCAUGUGUUCAUAUAACAUAUGUAUAUGUAUGUACAUCCUUUAACAUGUUUCCAGAAACCUCGGCAGCACGUCAUUUUUGCAUAAACGUCCAAAAACAAAUAAGCAAACACAAAGGAAAGUUGUCAGUUUUGGUAAUUUGGAAAAAAAAAAUAAAUCUCCAUAACGCUCAACACAAUUUUAACAGCGUUUUCAUUGUAUUUAUUCCUCUUCGUUAAUAUUUAUAUUGUGUAAAAAUAGCUUGGGGUAAACAUUUAACGUUGCUUGUUUUUAUUUAGUGUAUAAAAACACAUUGAAAACUUUUUUGAACUGUUCAAUGCCACAUGAAUUUAGAAAAAAUCAUUAAGAGUCAGUCUUGGUUAGACCAUGAUCAGCCUUAACCACCUUUAAGCCACAUUUAGACAUCAGUUGAUGACUUGAUGGGACAUGUUUUCAUCUUUCACUUUUUAACCACAUUGUUUAGACACAACAACUGGAGCAUGGUGUCUGUUCUCUGCCAUUUCAAAAAGGGUUUGCAAAAUUUUGCAAGUUUGUUACAUAACUCUUAUAGCUACUUGACAAAACCUCCGCAUUAUAAACGUCUUUUAAGUUUUUUUCUUAAAAAACAAAACACUUAAUGUUGGAACACUAAGUAAAUCAAAUUUCAAAAAAUCUGUCCUCUUCCCAUCAUACUUCCUGAACUGGUGGUUUGUUUCUGUCUCACCUUCAUGUGUCCUAAUGUAAUCAUCUUGCUCAUAUUUCCUCCUGGAUACUUUUAUUAUAGUAUAAUUUAAUAAUUCUAUGAAGAAAAAUAACACUUAUUUAGAUGUUAUUGUAUGUAGAUGGAAAAUAAAAAUACUUCUAUUGUACUGCGAGUUUAUUUUACUCUACAGGACUCGGAACUUUUUCUCUUUACGGCUCACAUUCAAGAUUAUAAAUAUGUGAAGACCACAAAGCAAACAUGACAUUUAGGUCUUCAGUUUUGCUAACCACCUAUUUUGCAGAAAACAAGGCAGGAAGUCCCAUCAGCCAUGACAACAUGCCGUUAUGCCACCGGCUCUGUUGUGAUCUAAGAGGUGAUGAUACAUUAAAAUAAAUUUCUUUAAUUUUUAAUAUAAGUAAUAAUUUGAAUUUUAAGUGAACUUUUGACCCUUUAUGACGUUCAAACUGUAACGAUGCGAUGGGCAAAGAUAAUUCAGGUUUGUGUUCUGUUGUUUCACAGUGAAGUCGUCAUGUAGACGCGUUUCCCUUUCAGAAAAAGUCUCACAUCCUCUUGAACCACUUUGAGAGAUGACAAUUUGUGGUUUGAGUCGCCCAAUAAACGUUCAGAGGACAGUUGAGACGGCCUCUGUUCAGUGCAGCAGCAGAUGUUGCAUCGAUAAGCAGGUGAGAUGGAUGCAGUGAGAUUAAGCCUUUUACUGCUUCUGCUGUGUUUUACGUGUUGUCUGGACUCUGAAGGUAACGUUGACAUUGAACAUUCUUUGAAAUGUAUUACAUCUGUUUUAAUUUUUAAAAGAUUCCAUUCUUACAGCAAUCAGACUAUCUCUCAUUCAUUGUUUUUACCUGUUUGCAGUGACUCUUGUUAAAACAAUCGGAAAAGAAUCUGAUUUUACUCCAAUCUGCACCAAUGAAACAUCAAAUAUCAUCAUGAUGAUUGUGUGUUGGAUCAGAACAGAGAGGAACAGUGGAGAGCAGUGCAGUCUGCUGUAUAGGGAUGGAGGUGACUUUGUUCAUGAGUGUGACUCCAGGUUCUCACUGAAAACCAGGAAUCAAACUGUGUUUCUGCACCUGACCAGUUUAACAGCAGCUGAUAGUGGGAACUACUCCUGUCAGUGUUUUAAUCUUAAUGGACCAUAUUUUCUCCAUCUCAUCAUUACAGUUAAAGACUCAUUUCCUAAUAAUUCACCAGAUGAAGUUAGGAACCUGUCUACAGUGACUCUUCCUUCUGCUUUGACUGCUGCAGUUCUCCUAAUUUUCAUUGUUUCAGUUAUUCUGGGAUUUAUUCACAGAAGACAUCAAAAUCAGUGAGAAACUAAUUCAAUAUUCAUAAUUUUGUUUUUUACUCAGACUCAAGUUCACAGCAUCAGCAGUAUUGUUUUUCAAUAAAGAAUUGUUCCGUUGUCUGUAGUUAAGAAUAAAUCUGACCGCCGUCUCUCUGCUGCCGCUUCUGUCUUCACUUUAGUUUUCAUAGCGCUGAGAGCCUGAGCUCUACUUUCAUUUCCUGUCUUACAUAAGUCACUGUAAUAAUAAUCUUUUUAUUUAUAACUGUUGUAUUUCCCAACAGAGAGCAACCAGAAUUGUGCAGACAUAAUCUGGAGGUAAUUUACAUAAAAAUAAAUGGAUGCAUUUUAUUUUAUUUACACAUGUAGAUUUUUAAGCUUGUUCUACGACGUUUUGUUCUGCAGGACUCGAUUGAAAUUGAGCCGUACAGCUCCUACACUCAGAAGGAAAAUUCACUUUAUUCAACAAGCAUAAUGCACAGCUGUCAAAUUAAUUCUGACUAUGCAAAUAUUUUCACUUGAACGGAUAAAUUUGCCUUCACAGCCCUUGGCUGUAGUUUAAUUUGUGUUUAUGGUCAUUUCCUUGUGAUGUAUUUAUGUUGAAUAUGUCUUGCCAUACUCAGUAAAUGUCCUUGUAUUCAUUAAUGUUGGAAUGUUAUUGCCAUGUAAGCUAAUUCCUUUGUGUUUCGUUUCUUGUUGUGUUCUGUUAUUUGUGCAGUUGGAUGUAGUUCUCUGUUGAACUGUUGAACUUUUCCACUUCAUUUGUAGUUUAUCUCAGUUUUAGUUCCUGUUCCUGGACUCCCUCCCUCCCAGCUGAUGUUGAACAGCUGCUUGGCUCAGCUGUUCAACAUCAACUUUGAUUAGUUCGUCUGGUUUAUCUGUUAUUUUCCACUCCUGCUACAGAAUAAAAGCUCACUGGUUCUCAUUGCUCAUUGCUGGAAUCUUCGGUUACACUUUCUCUUUCUCUUCCACCGGUUCCAUGUUCUUUUAUUUUUAUAGAGUUCUGUAAUUUUUUAUUUUUUUCAUUUUUCCAUCAUUAAAAACUCUUGACUUUAUG